CCUACGGGAGGCAGCAGUGGGGAAUAUUGCACAAUGGGGGAAACCCUGAUGCAGCGACGCCGCGUGAGUGAGGAAGUAUUUCGGUAUGUAAAGCUCUAUCAGCAGGGAAGAAAAUGACUGUGCCUGACUAAGAAACACCGGCUAACUACGUGCCAGCAGCCGCGGUACUAAGUAGGGGGCAAGCGUUAUCAGGAUUUACUGGGGGUAAAGGGAGCGUAGACGGCUAAUCAAGUCAGAAGAGAAAACCGAGGGCUCAACUUUAGGACUGCUUUUGAAACUGAGUAGAUAGAGUGCAGGAGAGGUAAGCGGAAUUCCUAGUGUAGCGGUGAAAUGCGUAGAUAUUAGGAGGAACACCAGUGGCGAAGGCGGCUUACUGGACUGUAACUGACGUUGAGGCUCGAAAGCGUGGGGAGCAAACAGGAUUAGAUACCCCGGGUAGUC
This 441-nucleotide ribosomal RNA is filed under the name uncultured bacterium. Its description in RNAcentral is "partial 16S ribosomal RNA". It matches the Rfam family "Bacterial small subunit ribosomal RNA", at positions 338 to 795 of the family's 1533-position model. The record is from RNAcentral.